CAACCUUUUUCCUCCACUUUCACUAUCUGUUUUCAGGCUAUUAAAGGGGAGUAGUCAAAGAGAUCACAUCAGUGAAAAUUGCACUUGCAUACUGUCUUACAGGUUCCCAGCCCCUCCCCCCCAACCGACAAGAGUAAAGUGUUAACACUUUAUUUACUUACCAUAACUCAGCGCUGAGGGAAAUCGUUGUGGCUUUGCCUCCUCUGACGUCCUACGACGAGUGAGCG
Molecule: non-coding RNA, 227 nt
Organism: Pelobates cultripes (western spadefoot toad)
Lineage: Eukaryota; Metazoa; Chordata; Amphibia; Anura; Pelobatidae
Source: the annotation of a GenBank genome assembly